CCAAACUUGGUCAUUUAGAGGAAGUAAAAGUCGUAACAAGGUUUCCGUAGGUGAACCUGCGGAAGGAUCAUUAUUGAACAAACUUGGAUUGGUUGUUGCUGGCUUGUUCAAAGCAUGUGCACGCCUUCUCCAUUUUUUAUUUUAAAACCCACCUGUGCAUCUUGUGUAGAUCUGAAACACUGUUCGAGAGGGGAUGACUUCUUGGUCUGGGGAUUGCUUGUGUGUUCCAAAAACAUCCAGCUUUCCUUGUAUUCGGGUCUAUGUUCAUUAUUAUAUACUACUCCAUGGGAAUGUAUCAGAGCGUUGUCAAAGGCUUUUUUAUGCCUCUAAAACAAAUACAACUUUCAACAACGGAUCUCUUGGCUCUCGCAUCGAUGAAGAACGCAGC
This 388-nucleotide unclassified non-coding RNA is filed under the name uncultured fungus. Its description in RNAcentral is "partial contains small subunit ribosomal RNA, internal transcribed spacer 1, and 5.8S ribosomal RNA". The stretch from base 1 to 73 matches the Rfam family "Eukaryotic small subunit ribosomal RNA", at positions 1759 to 1831 of the family's 1831-position model. Lineage: Eukaryota; Fungi. The record is from RNAcentral.